AUCCAGUUGACUAGUCUCACAUAAGACGAAACAUGAGUCCUGGAU
This is a non-coding RNA of Schistosoma mansoni, 45 nucleotides long. The record is from Rfam. Lineage: Eukaryota; Metazoa; Platyhelminthes; Trematoda; Strigeidida; Schistosomatidae.